CACUGUAAAGCUUCACUUAUUAUGACCAAAUUCUAUAGUUAAAUAGUUUAUUUUAAGAAUGGUCUAUAAUUUUCUGAAUUAUUAUAUUAAUAUAGUUUCAAUACAUGGAGUACCUGAUUAUCUGUGUGAGACAGAGUUGAGAGCUUGAGAGGGAGAGAAUGAACAUUAAAGAGUAAAGGAGAGACAGAAAUUGUGAUUGAGGAAAGGAGAGCAAUAGGCAAAGGAAUGGGAGAGAGAAAGGGAGGCAGUGAAAGAGAAGGAGAGAGAGGGAGACAAAUAGAGUGAGAGAGCAAUGAAUAAAAGGUACAGAGGUGGGGACAAAGUGUUGUAUAUAAAUAAUAUAUUCACAUAUUGCUUGAAUGUAGACUAUCAUAUAUUUUCUAGAGGCUGACAGAACUAGUGUUUAUUAAUUUGUACCAAUACUCACGAAAUAUCUUAUUCUCUUUUAAUAAAAUGGAUUAAUAAAAGAAAAAU
Non-coding RNA from Biomphalaria pfeifferi, 474 nucleotides. NCBI's taxonomy places the organism in Eukaryota, Metazoa, Mollusca, Gastropoda, Planorbidae. The record is from the annotation of a GenBank genome assembly.